Molecule: long non-coding RNA, 511 nt
Organism: Haliotis rufescens (red abalone)
Lineage: Eukaryota; Metazoa; Mollusca; Gastropoda; Lepetellida; Haliotidae
Exons: 2
Source: RefSeq, a predicted model, not a curated record
CUUUCAUGCAAGAGUCGUAUGAUGCACCUUAAAACUGUUAGUGGUUUCUGACAGGAAUGUUUUUCUUAAUGCAUAUCCCUCCCUUUCUUUUGAUAUUUCAAGCUCCAAAGUGCGCAGAUGCGGAACCAUGUGAAAACGGCGGCACCUGUAAGGCUGACACCACUGGCCAGCAUAUCUGUUUCUGUGCUCCAGGCUUUGGAGGGGACCUGUGUGCUAACGCCUCAGGUGCUGCUACGAUAUCGGGGCACUUCCUUCUGCUCACAGUUGUUGCUGUCCUCGCAAAGCUUAACCUCAACUGAACACAACCGGACCGGAAGAGUUUGUAGUAGUAGAUAUAGAUUGUAUUGAAUGUAAUGACUGAUUAUUUGUGUUAAUUAGACAAGUGCUUAAUGUGGUCACAGUAAUAUCAUCCAAUAUUUUUAACAGUAGAUCUAGUGUACAGAAAUUACUGAUGGUUUUCCUGAUGACAUUUACCAAAAGUAUUAUCCUGAUCAGAAAUUUGAACAGCGGA